AAAUUGCUCAGAGCAGCUACUCAUGUUGGACAAUUCAGGUCUCUUCUGGAAACUGGCCUUGUAUUUGGAAUUUUCUCCAGAGUCUGAUGUGCUAAGAAAUCUUCAGAACAAACUUUUCAUAAAAGAAACUUCACUGCAAGAGUUGAAGCCUGAGCUAGAAAGUUACAAAGAAAAUAAUGUACGACAGUCGUUCCAGAUAAUGUCCCUGAAAGAUAAUAUCAAGGACCUACAGAAACUUACUGCUUCUCUAACCAGAAUUAAAUAUUUGAGAAACACCAAUAUUCAGAGGCUUCAAAGAGGCAACUGGAAUUUAACUAAAUGAAUUAUUGAGCUAGAAACUGUCUAAGAGUACGAGUACAUCUGGUUGAAAGAGAAAAGGCAGAGAGAAAAGCAGACUUUUUGGAGUUGUUGUUCUCAGGCACUAACAGAUUCAUCCCUUAUAUGCAUAUGAAUGGACAAUAAGAUUUCUUGGAUAUUUUCAUGGCAAAGGGUAAGAGUGAAGCUAUCCUGGACAAGAACUUUGACAGGACAAUACUAUUCACUCUGAAGGACCAAAAAAUGAGCAGAAAAUUUGGGAUAAAUGUCAACAAGAUUUGAACCCUAAAGAAAAGCAAGCAUCGAGUUAGACAGACGUCCAUAUUCAUUCAACUGGGAAAAUAAAACUGCAGUCCCAACAUCAGAAUUUCCUUGGUCAGUUGGUUAUUGCGGGACAGCAUUCUUCUGCAUGACAGUAUUGUCUCCUUACCAGCCACAGAGGAGGCUGUGAGAGAGAGGAUUUGGGAAAUUGGUGCAAAUGAGAAAUCUUGGAAAUCUAGAACUAAAGCCUUUCAGCAGGAAAUCCAGAUGCUCACUAAGUGACUAGAGCAGCUGCAUCAUCUUUAAGAAGAAGGUGCUCAAGAAUCAUCCCAAGCUGAAGAAAAAAGUAUUGGGAACAAAAAAGACCCUUGAAAUGUCUAGAAAGAAAAAUUGAGAUCAAGGACUUUUUCAAGAGAGAUUAGACUUGGACAGGAAGAAAAAUUUGCAGAUUGCUACUACGCAAAGAUUGGAGGAGAAAAUUCAGAAACUUCAGAGACAGCUCAGUGAUUUGAAAUUGUCAAAUAAAAAUAUGAAAACUCAGCUGACAAGAGUAAAUGUCCUUAAAGACAAAACAAUUGAAGAGCUCAGGCAAUCUUUAGCAAAUGUUGAAAGGAUGAAAGAGAAGGCAAAUGUUGAAACGAUGAAAGAGAAGGCAGUUGUGAAAACAGAAAACUUGAAAACUACAUUAGACUCUGCAGAGCAAAAGGCAAGAUCAGACAAAGAGAAGACCCAGCAGAUGUUAGAUGCUGUCACUUCUGAGCCCCCAACAGCAAAGAGCGCACCUGAAGAAGUAUCAGGACAAGAACAAGAGGCCUAUCCAGAGAUUCCAGUUCAGUUUGUGGUAUGAGGCUGAAGUAUGGAUAUUUUUUUCAAAGCUCCUUAAGUAUAUAAAUUGAUAAAAUUACUUUGGAA
Homo sapiens (human) is the source of this 1488-nucleotide long non-coding RNA. The record is from Ensembl. NCBI's taxonomy places the organism in Eukaryota, Metazoa, Chordata, Mammalia, Primates, Hominidae.